This 4442-nucleotide long non-coding RNA is filed under the name Sus scrofa (pig). RNAcentral's name for it is "lncRNA (ENSSSCG00000041327.2)". The stretch from base 3021 to 3860 matches the Rfam family "Eukaryotic small subunit ribosomal RNA", at positions 4 to 605 of the family's 1831-position model. The record is from RNAcentral. Lineage: Eukaryota; Metazoa; Chordata; Mammalia; Artiodactyla; Suidae.
UUUUUUUUUUUUUUUUUUUUUUUUUUUUUAACCACCAGGUAGGUAUUGACAUGGUCUUGUUGCCUGUAGCAAAGGACAUCGGAUGUCUGGAUGUGCACAGGGCCCCAGGCUUGACUGCAACCUUACACCCAUUUCUGCCCUUCCUUCUUAAGCUGCCUGCCUGGGCCUUUGCACCAGCUCUCAAGUGAGUGUCCAGCUGACCUGACCUGCGGUGCAGUCUCUGGUCUCUGGCAGCCCAAGGGCAGGGGGACCAUGAGGUAUGAGUCCCCCACCCCGUGUCCCCCACCCCGUGUGCGGUGUGAGUCCCCCACCCCGUGUGCUCCCCACAGGCCCAUGGCAGUAGAUGUGACAACUGCAUCAUGUAAGGUCCAUGCCAGUUCAAGAUUCAGCUACAAUCCUCCCAGAACUAUUAUGCCCUCUCACUGGAGAGAAGGUGGAUGGUGAGGCUACGGCAGCCACAUCUGGCAGUUGUCCUCGCUGGCUUCUCACAUGGAGAUUCCAAGCAACUGGACUGACAGAGACAGAUGUGGUGCUGUCAUGCUCUCCAGGGCCAGGCCUAAGCCACGCCUAAUGAAAGACAGGCAUUCGUGGCAAAUGGGGCUGCUCUUGUCCUGUCUCUGUGCCCCUUGCUUCUCCUCCCCAUCUGUUGAUGUGUGUGGGAGGCAGGGGUGUGGAAUCUGGCCUGAUCUGUCUCUUACCCUCCUCUUCAGAGUAUAGGUGGGCCAGUGUCAUCUGAUGCAGGGAACAUACGUCUCACCUCCCUGGCUCAUAUCUUGUGAGUGGCCCUCCCUGCCAUGGGUAGGGUCACCCCACCACUGUGCUUUAUGCUCCCCUUGAUGUGUGAGUAGGACUCACCUGCUCCUCUGUGGUGCUCCUGGAGUGAUCCAGGUUGACCCUCAGGUGCCUGAGGCCAAGCAAAGUGUUUUUCCUAUUCCCAGCAAGCCCCUUGGGUCUCCCAUUACUUUGAGCAGCUUUCUUCAGGGUUGGGAUAGUAAGGGAGGCACACCUUGUCCCACUUGUGUAGCAAGAACCUUAUUCUGUUUGUCCUCACUGUGCCAGAGGAACAAACUUGGCCAGCCACAUGCCAUGAGCUCCCUCUUUGCCAGGACUGCACACAGGCAUGCGCACAAUAGUGGUAGGCCAGGCAAUGCCAAGAGGGAGCUCAGUCUGACUUCAGGCAAGCCCCUCCAUGUGGCAAACAGAGCACUUGAAACAGAGAAGGUUUCCCCAGCCCUCACUCUAAAUGCUCAGGUUGGCCCUUUGCUUACUCGUGUCACGAAUACCCCAUGCCUAGCCCAGCCCUGGCAUCUCUUGAAGUGCCUCUGUGGGCCUGACAGGGAGGUGACAAUGGGUGUGGGAACCAUGAUGUAUCCUCAGUGAGAAUGCCCUCUCCAGUGAUCUGAGGGGGAGCAUUUGGGGCACUGCACCACCCAGCUUGCUACCCUGUGCACCAGCCUGUGAGCAGAGUCCCUCACCUUCCUGUGAAGGAUUGCUGAUCACACAGUGGAGCCAAGCACAGAGCUUUGUGUACGGUGGACCAUGCCUCAUCUCUCCACGUCGGGGGGAGGGUCCUGUCAGGCCAGUGUCCAGCACAGGGCUGUGUGUGUGCAUGCAUCUGUGGUUCCUCAGUCAAGUGCCAAGGGGGGUGCUCUGUCCUGACUCCUCUGUCCCCCGCUGUGAGCAACUCCCAUCCUGGUCACAGCCUGUAAUGACAUGCAGUCAUGGGUUGGGCUGCCUUGCUCAGGAAUAUUUCCUCCGGCUAUGAGCCUGGGGCAGAGCAGAUGAAGAUGGAGAGAUCUGCAUGGAUGGGUGACCAGGUGGGUGGUUCCUCCAUGGAAGGACUUAUACACAUGGGCCUGGUGGUGUACCUGGGUCAAAGGAGACUUAAAAGUGGUCAAGACCGGCUGACAUCCCAAGUGUUGUGGGACCAAUCUUGUGCCUUUAGUGGUGAGCUGACACGCUCAUUUUCCUGGCGGCCCAAUCACAUCUGAGCCUUUCUUUUUCUAAUUACUGGCCCUGCCCCUGCCUGCUGCUGCCCUUCUCCAUUAUCACUGGUCCUCUCUGGCCCAAGCAGAUGAUUGUUAGCACCACCAGCAACUGGGACUGAAAUGGCCUUGCACUGUCUGCCUCAUCCCUGGCUGCCAUAGCUGGAAGUGUCCCCAGAUGAAGUGUUCUUGGGCCCACUGGGGGACUCAGCAACAGGAGGUGUAUGUGAGGCCAAGAAUCACUGGUGUGUGGGAGAGAGUUCUCAUGGACUGGCUGUGGAUCUGUGCUGUUGGAGGUGGGGGUUGCAAGCCCUGUGAGAGUACCCUGGGGACCAAGAAGGCAAUAGGACUUCCAAUAUGCUCUCCAGAAGUGAGACACAGUGCCAUGCCCUGGCAGCUGACUCCUGCCCAGGUUGUUUGGUCAGCCCUAUGCCCAUUGCAGCUACAUGGAGACCCCCUUCCUUCAAUGCUUUUCAGUGCCAACCUUUGGUGCCCGCCCUGCCUCAUUACCUCCCUCCUCUAUCUAUCCACACUACCUGUCAACCCCAGUGCUGUGCCCUGGUGUAGCUUUCCUCAUGGGCAUGCUUGGGCCUCUCCUCUGCAUCCACAGUGACCCCUAGCUCUGGCAACAUUGCAUGUGGACAAGGAUCUGCCCUCUCCUGCCUUACUCCACUCUGGUGAGCUCUCACAAGACUUUGUGACCAGACAACUUGGCUAUAUCAACCACUGCCCACACAAAUGCUAGCAUGUGUUGGCUAGCCUUGACGUAAGUUCCCAUUGCCCCAGCCCUACUCCCAUGCUACCAAGGGGCUGUGCCUGGGGAUGCCACCUAGGCACACCACCCUUGUUUGCUUGUGGAUGGUCAGUCAUUCUUGCCCUGGGCGGGGAGGAUGGCCAGGUCCUGGUGUUUGCCUCCCCCCUUUCCCACCUUGGCCCUCCCCCCACUGCUGUGUUUCCAAUGCCCUUUGUUCCACAUGCCUGGCAUGGCUCUGAGCACUCUCUCAUGGUCUGGCUCCUUGUAACAUGAUCAUCUGCCUGGUGGAUGCUACCAGUAGCAUUUGCUUGUCUCAAAGAUUAAAGCAUGUAUGUCUAACAAGUAUGCAUGGCUGAGACAGUGAAACUGCAAAUGGCUCAGUAAAUUGGUUAAUCCCUUUGGUCACCCAUUCCUGUCCUAUUUGGAUGAUAACUUGUAAUUCUAGAGCUAAUACAUGCUGGUGGAUUCUGAAUCCCCUUGGGAUGCAUGCAUUUAUCAGAUCAAAACCAACGCUGUCAACCUCCCCCUGGCCAUGUCAGGUAUGUGGGCAGCAGUGGCUUUGGUGACUCAGGACCACCUUGGGCUGAUCACACACACCCCUGCGGUAUCAGUGACCCAUUCAAAGUCUGCCUUAUCAAUUUUUUUGUGUGUUUUUGUAUUUUUUAGGGCUGCACUCACAGCAUAUGGAGGUUCCCAGGCUAGGGGUCUAAUCAGAGCUGUAGCUGCCGGCCUUCGCCAGAGCCACAGCAACGCCAGAUCCAAGCCAUGUCUGUGACCUACACCACAGCUCACGGCAAUGCUGGAUCCUUAACCCACUGUGCAAGGCCGGGAAUCGAACCCUCAAUCUCAUGGUUCCUAGUCAGAUUCGUUAACCACUGAGCCACGACGGGAACUCCUGCCCUAUCAACUUUUGAAUGCAGUUACUGUGCCUCACAUGGUGACCACAAAAGAUGCAGGAUCAUAGUUUGAUUCCAGAGAAGGAACAUGAGAAAUGGCUACCACUUCCAAAGAAGGCAGCAGGGGAACAAAUUAACCACUACUGACUGAGGGAGGCAGUGACAAAAUAUAAGAAUACAGGACUCUUAAUAUUAUAAAAAUGGCCAUACUAUCCAAAGCAAUCUACAGAUUCAAUGCAAUCCCUAUCAAAUUACCCAUGACAUUUUUCACAGAACUAGAACAAACAAUCCAAGAAUUUAUAUGGAACAACAAAAGACCCAGAAUUGCCAAAGCAAUUCUGAAGGACAAAAACCGAGCAGGAGGCAUCACUCUCCAGACUUCAUGCAACAUUACAAACCCACACUCAUCAAGACAGUGUGGUACUGGUACCAAAACAGAUAGACAGACCAAUGGAACAGAAUAGGGAACCCAGAAAUAAACCCUGACACCUAUGGUCAAUUAACCUUUGACAAAGGAGGCAAGAGCAUAUAAUUGGAAAAAGAUAGUCUUUUCAGCAAGUCUUGCUGGGAAACCUGGACAGCUGCAUGCAAAUCAGUGAAACUGUAACACGCCCUCACACCAUGCACCAAAAUAAACUCAAAAUGGCUGAGACUUAAAUAUAAGACAAGACACCAUCAAACUCCUAGAAGAGAACAUAGGCAAAACAUUCUCUGACAUCAACCUUAUGACUCCCAAAGCAAUGGAUAUAAAAGAAAAAAUAAACCAAUGGGAACUAAUCAAACUGACAAGAUUUUGCACAGCAAAGG